AAAGUUUUAGUUUAAUUAAAACAACUUUUUGUCAAAGAGUAAAUAUAAGGUUAUAAACUUUU
Molecule: transfer RNA, 62 nt
Filed under: Olidiana ritcheriina
Lineage: Eukaryota; Metazoa; Arthropoda; Insecta; Hemiptera; Cicadellidae
Description: tRNA-Asp
Source: RNAcentral